UUCUUUAUCACCGAGUGCUUGCACUCACCGAUGAAGAGUUGAGUGGCGAACGGGUGAGUAACACGUGGGCAACCUGCCCAAAAGAGGGGGAUAACACUUGGAAACAGGUGCUAAUACCGCAUAACCAUAGUUACCGCAUGGUAACUAUGUAAAAGGUGGCUAUGCUACCGCUUUUGGAUGGGCCCGCGGCGCAUUAGCUAGUUGGUGGGGUAAAGGCUUACCAAGGCAAUGAUGCGUAGCCGAACUGAGAGGUUGAUCGGCCACAUUGGGACUGAGACACGGCCCAAACUCCUACGGGAGGCAGCAGUAGGGAAUCUUCCACAAUGGGCGAAAGCCUGAUGGAGCAACGCCGCGUGGGUGAAGAAGGUCUUCGGAUCGUAAAACCCUGUUGUUAGAGAAGAAAGUGCGUGAGAGUAACUGUUCACGUUUCGACGGUAUCUAACCAGAAAGCCACGGCUAACUACGUGCCAGCAGCCGCGGUAAUACGUAGGUGGCAAGCGUUAUCCGGAUUUAUUGGGCGUAAAGGGAACGCAGGCGGUCUUUUAAGUCUGAUGUGAAAGCCUUCGGCUUAACCGGAGUAGUGCAUUGGAAACUGGGAGACUUGAGUGCAGAAGAGGAGAGUGGAACUCCAUGUGUAGCGGUGAAAUGCGUAGAUAUAUGGAAGAACACCAGUGGUGAAAGCGGCUCUCUGGUCUGUAACUGACGCUGAGGUUCGAAAGCGUGGGUAGCAAACAGGAUUAGAUACCCUGGUAGUCCACGCCGUAAACGAUGAAUGCUAAGUGUUGGAGGGUUUCCGCCCUUCAGUG
RNAcentral lists this ribosomal RNA (806 nucleotides) under uncultured Bacillota bacterium. RNAcentral describes it as "bacterial SSU rRNA". It matches the Rfam family "Bacterial small subunit ribosomal RNA", at positions 71 to 845 of the family's 1533-position model. Lineage: Bacteria; Bacillati; Bacillota. The record is from RNAcentral.